Molecule: non-coding RNA, 137 nt
Organism: Elasticomyces elasticus
Lineage: Eukaryota; Fungi; Ascomycota; Dothideomycetes; Mycosphaerellales; Teratosphaeriaceae
Source: the annotation of a GenBank genome assembly
UCCCCGGUGGCGCAAUUGGCUAGCGCGUCAGACUGGUUUGUUGCUCCUAUCGCCCGUUCCAGUAACGUACUGACUUCACUCCAGUUAUACAACCCAUGACCAUCUGGAGGCUGAAAGUUCGAGCCUUUCCCGGGGAG